Molecule: ribosomal RNA, 301 nt
Filed under: uncultured bacterium
Lineage: Bacteria
Description: partial 16S ribosomal RNA
Rfam family: Bacterial small subunit ribosomal RNA
Source: RNAcentral
CAGUAGCCACGGUAAUACGUAGGUGGCAAGCGUUGUCCGGAAUUAUUGGGCGUAAAGGGCUCGCAGGCGGUUUCUUAAGUCUGAUGUGAAAGCCCCCGGCUCAACCGGGGAGGGUCAUUGGAGACUGGGAAACUUGAGUGCAGAAGAGGAGAGUGGAGUUCCACGUGUAGCGGUGAAAUGCGUAGAGAUGUGGAGGAACACCAGUGGCGAAGGCGACUCUCUGGUCUGUAACUGACGCUGAGGAGCGAAAGCGUGGGGAGCGAACAGGAUUAGAUACCCCAGUAGUCCCUGUCUCUUAUAA